This 889-nucleotide ribosomal RNA is filed under the name uncultured Bacillota bacterium. RNAcentral's name for it is "bacterial SSU rRNA". It matches the Rfam family "Bacterial small subunit ribosomal RNA", at positions 30 to 917 of the family's 1533-position model. Lineage: Bacteria; Bacillati; Bacillota. The record is from RNAcentral.
CGAACGCUGGCGGCGUGCUUAACACAUGCUAGUCGAACGGAGCACCCUUGAAAGAGUUUUCGGACAAUGGAGAGGAAUGCUUAGUGGCGGACUGGUGAGUAACGCGUGAGGAACCUGCCUUCCAGAGGGGGACAACAGUUGGAAACGACUGCUAAUACCGCAUAAUAUAUUCUAAUCGCAUGGUUGGGAUAUCAAAGAUUUAUCGCUGGAAGAUGGCCUCGCGUCUGAUUAGCUUGUUGGCGGGGUAAUGGCCCACCAAGGCGACGAUCAGUAGCCGGACUGAGAGGUUGACCGGCCACAUUGGGACUGAGAUACGGCCCAGACUCCUACGGGAGGCAGCAGUGGGGAAUAUUGGGCAAUGGGGGAAACCCUGACCCAGCAACGCCGCGUGAAGGAAGAAGGCUUUCGGGUUGUAAACUUCUUUUAAGAGGGAAGAGCAGAAGACGGUACCUCUUGAAUAAGCCACGGCUAACUACGUGCCAGCAGCCGCGGUAAUACGUAGGUGGCAAGCGUUGUCCGGAUUUACUGGGUGUAAAGGGCGUGCAGCCGGGCUGACAAGUCAGGUGUGAAAUCCCGCGGCUUAACCGCGGAACUGCAUUUGAAACUGUCAGUCUUGAGUACUGGAGAGGUCAUCGGAAUUCCUUGUGUAGCGGUGAAACGCGUAGAUAUAAGGAAGAACACCAGUGGCGAAGGCGGAUGACUGGACGGCAACUGACGGUGAGGCGCGAAAGCGUGGGGAGCAAACAGGAUUAGAUACCCUGGUAGUCCACGCUGUAAACGAUCGAUACUAGGUGUGCGGGGACUGACCCCCUGCGUGCCGCAGUUAACACAAUAAGUAUCGCACCUGGGGAGUACGAUCGCAAGGUUGCAACUCAAAGGAAUUGACGGA